RNAcentral lists this ribosomal RNA (557 nucleotides) under Arthrinium sp. PQP03. RNAcentral's name for it is "eukaryotic LSU rRNA". It matches the Rfam family "Eukaryotic large subunit ribosomal RNA", at positions 66 to 646 of the family's 3401-position model. Lineage: Eukaryota; Fungi; Ascomycota; Sordariomycetes; Amphisphaeriales; Apiosporaceae. The record is from RNAcentral.
CAACAGGGAUUCCCCUAGUAACGGCGAGUGAAGCGGGAACAGCUCAAAUUUGAAAUCUGGCCCUUGGGUCCGAGUUGUAAUUUGCAGAGGAUGCUUUUGGUGCGGUGCCUUCCGAGUUCCCUGGAACGGGACGCCUUAGAGGGUGAGAGCCCCGUACGGUUGGACACCAAGCCUAUGUAAAGCUCCUUCGACGAGUCGAGUAGUUUGGGAAUGCUGCUCAAAAUGGGAGGUAUAUUUCUUCUAAAGCUAAAUAUUGGCCAGAGACCGAUAGCGCACAAGUAGAGUGAUCGAAAGAUGAAAAGCACUUUGAAAAGAGGGUUAAAUAGCACGUGAAAUUGUUGAAAGGGAAGGAUUUAUGACCAGACUUUUUCUAGGGGGAUCAUCCGGUGUUCUCACUGGUGCACUUCCCCUAGUUGAGGCCAGCAUCGGUUUCUGUCGAGGGAUAAAAGCUUUAGGAAUGUGGCACCCUCCGGGGUGUGUUAUAGCCUUUUGCAUAAUACCUUGACGGGGACCGAGGUUCGCGCAUUGCAAGGAUGCUGGCGUAAUGGUUAUUAAUC